UACGGAGGUGGCAAGCGUUGUUCGGAAUUACUGGGCGUAAAGGGCGCGUAGGCGGCAAGGCAAGUCAGGUGUGAAAGCCCCGAGCUUAACUCGGGAAUUGCAUCUGAAACUGCUGUGCUUGAGUUCUGGAGGGGGUAGUGGAAUUCCCAGUGUAGCGGUGAAAUGCGUAGAUAUCAGGAGGAACACCGGUGGCGAAGGCGGGUCUCUGGGCCGAUACUGACGCUGAGGAGCGAAAGCGUGGGGAGCGAACAGG
This 253-nucleotide ribosomal RNA is filed under the name uncultured bacterium. Its description in RNAcentral is "partial 16S ribosomal RNA". It matches the Rfam family "Bacterial small subunit ribosomal RNA", at positions 524 to 776 of the family's 1533-position model. The record is from RNAcentral.